GUUUUAAUCUGUUUCUAUAUAUUUUAAUCUAAUUUUUUAAUGUAUUUUACCUUUUUACCUUUUAACUAUAACUUUACACGAAGGUCAGAAAUAUUUCUAAACACAGACUGGAUCUGUGCUAAAGGAGGUCUGAAGCUGCUCUGAAGGCACUGAGGACAAAGUCCAUGCAGCUCGUGACCUUUGAACCCUCACAACUGUUUAAAGCUUCCCGCCUCUUUUUACAGCCCAUUGUCAUGGAAACUAGUAUGUACUACAGUGGCAAAGUUCAGCUCUGCACAGCAGGCAACAUGUGAAACAUCAACUCAGCCCCAGCAAUAAUUUGAUCAAACAAUUAAAUAUAUGUGAAUGUAAACACUGCUGUUGUGAUUUGACUAUCACUCUAUACAGACUAAUACAAUCAUUUCUCAAAUAUUUACUACAGUGAACAUGCACUUGAGUGAUAUGAGACUCUGGAUGCUUUCAGCUGAUUUCUGUUGAACUGUCAGCAACUGAACUGCAGCUCAAACUAUUUCAAAUAUAGUGAAUUAAGUUACAAACUCCAUAAUAAUGCACAGUGUUUCCAUCUGACAUGUAUUUUGAGCUGCAGCUCGUCGUAUUAAUGGAGUGUUUCACUAGUUAGCAGUAAACCGGUUACCUCACCUGAAUAUGUUCGAAGUAUGUAAUCUUUGGAGUGGAAAUAUGGAUAUUUUAUUUAUCAUACUUGUUUCGCUUAAUUCAGUUAAUGUCUUAAAACUAGUGAGCUAAGCCAGUAGUAGUGCUAACAGUGUCAUGUAAACAUGACUGAAGACGUGAAGAGACGAACAGACAAACCGAUUCAAUGAGUGAGUCAUUUACGCGUCAAACCGAUUCAAUGAGUGAGUCAUUUACGCGUCAAACCGAUUCAAUGAGUGAGUCAUUUACGCGUCAAACAGAUUCAAUGAAUGAGUCAUUUACGCGUCAAACCGAUUCAAUGACUGAGUCAUUUACGCCUCAAACCGAUUCAAUGAGUGAGUCAUUUACGCGUCAAACCAAUUCAAUGAAUGAGUCAUUUACGCCUCAAACCGAUUCAAUGACUGAGCCAUUCAUUUUCGAAUCAUUGGAUUUAGAUUGGAACUUCACAUAUCGCGAAUCAUUUGAUUCACAUCGGGACUUCAGGAUGUGUCCUACAAUCUGUACCCGACCCGAAUCGACACGAACCGAACGUGCAUAAAUUGUUUUAUAAAGCGGAUAGUUCAGUCCUUGAUUCUGAUUGACAUGCACUUCUUUGUUUACUUCUGUGUUUUGCUCGGCAACCCCUCUGUCACAACCACAACCGUUUCUGAGGAACUACAUUGUUUAGCGGAAGAAUAAUGUUUUUAUUAAUAUCAUUACAUUUUAUUUGCUUUGUUUAAUUUUGUGCAGUCUUGCUCGUAUAUGGAAUAACCGGUCCGUGUCGUGCCUAACAACGACCCUUAGCUGUUAUAAAUUCACUGUAAAUAAUUACAAAUUAAUAAUAAAUAAAUAAAAAUGAUACGAAUUUAACUAAAUAAAUAUAGCUUCAAAACAUACAAGCAAAUAUAAAGUAACAAAGGGGAAAAAGACAAUUACAAGUGAUAAACAAAAAGUACUUUCAGUGUAUGAGAGUGCUUUGGUGUCCAAAAUUUUACAGACAAACAUAGCUAUGGGUUUUUUUUUUUUAAUUCUUGUUCAGUAUCCAUUAAAAACUAAAUAAUAUCGGCCAGUUGUGGUCCAACUUAGCUAUCAGUAUCAGUAAAAUCCAGUAUCGGUUCAUCUCUAUUUAUUUAUUUAUUCACUCAUUUAUUUAUUUACUCAAUUUUCUUUAAACUAUUUUUACUUAAUUAUUCACUCAGCUAUUUACUUAUUCUAAUAUAGGCCUAUGUUUAUUUAUUGAAACUUUUUUCAAUAAUAUUAAUCUGUUUAUUUGUUUAUUUACUUAUUGAUUUACUUAUUUAAUCUAUAUUUAUUAAAAUAUUUUUUUUAAUUUAAAUUUAAUUGUAUUAUUUAUUUAUGAGAUUUUUUAUUUUUUUAUUUUUUUACAUUUUUCUCUAAACAUUUCCACAGAGCCUUUCAGCAUUUAAGUUUUCGUUCAGUGUCCAAUUUAAAAACUAUCUGUUAAUUAAUCGUAUCGGCCAGUUGUGGUCCAACCUAGCUAUCAGUUUCGGUAAAAUCCAAUAUCGGCUGACCUCUAUCUAUUUAUUUGUUUAGUUAUUCACAUAUUUCUUUACUUAUUUAUUUAUUUACUUAAUUAUAUUAAUCUAUUUAUUUGUUUAUUUAUUUAUUGAUUUACUUAUUUAAUCUAUAUUUAUUUUAAUAAUUUUUUGUAUUAUUUAAAUUUUAUUUUAUUUUCCUUUAUUUUAUUUUUUUUACAUUUUUCUUUAAACAUUUCCACAGACCCCUCCAGCACGCGCUGAAAACCUCUGCCGUAAUGAUGUAAGAUCAUCAUACAGUGUGUGUGUGUGUGUGUGUGUCUGUAGUGGGGGAGGGGAAGUAUCACAGUAUCACAGACGACACAGACACAAGUCUGUCAGAUUUUCUGUCUUCAGGACACUUUUCUCACCCAGCUCUCGCAGAUGAACACACACACCAGACAGACAGACAGACAGACGGAUGUGUCUGACUGACGGCAGACGCCCUUCCCUCCUCGCCGGAGGUCACAUGACCCUGUGGGGAGGCAGACUGAACCUGUUCUUUGUUAGGAGGUCAGUGCGCUCCUGCCGUAUGCCUGCUAAAGGACGCGCACCGCUAAACAAUCAACAGUUCAGCCUGGCGUUUACAUCAUCAUCAGAUGGAAGCUUAAUUCUGCCUGCACUGAAUAAAACUAAAAAAUAAGGUUACUUUUUAUCUCAAAGUUCCGAGUUUAUAGAGAUGUAUACUCAGAAUUCUGAAAAAAGACUAAAUUGCGAGAUUCAAACUCUGAAUUCCUAAGUUGUGACGUGUAGAAAAAUGUGGGAUCCAUUUCUUGUCCUAAUUGAGAGUGUAUCAUAAAAUGAGAGAUGCUAUGUUGACUCUGGCCUGUAAGCUCUGGGUUCUCUUUAACACAGUUGUUACGUUUUUGUAUUUAAAAAAAAAACAAAAAACUUUUUUUUUAUUUUUUGUAGUUGUUUUAAAUUUUAUAAUUGCUUUUGUUUAUUGUUAUUAUUAAUAUAUAUUUAUUCAAUUAUUUUGGGGGGAGGUGGAUAAGCAGCAAGAAUAGAUAAAACAUUAAUGUAAAACCUUAUUGAUUUUGAUUGAUGAUAUUCAUGUUCAAAAAAAAAGAAAAUAAUAAUAAUUGUUAGAUGUAAACUCAGAAUUCCAAGAAAAAAAGGCAGAAUUGCAAGAUGUUAACUCUGAAUUCUCCAAUAAAUAAAUAAAUAAAAUAAAAAUGGUCAGAUGUAAACUUAAUGACGAAACAAAAAGUCUGCAACUUUAACCUGCAAUUGUGAAAUAUUAACUUGUAACUCUGAGACAAAAAGUCUGAAUUGUGAGAUGUAAAGUCACAGUUACCUGGCUUCUUUAUAUUUUUAUUCCGUGGCAGAAACAAGCAUCUGUCUCGCUCCAAAAAGGACAAAUGCACUAAAACACUAGUCUGCUUCAGUCAUAUAGUGCUCUUCAAACUCACUGGAGCUCUGAAAACUCACGUGCAUUUAUGUUUAAAUUCAGAAGAUAGAGCACAGAUGCUCCCUGCAGGUCUGAUGUGAGUGACAUCAAAUGCCACUGGGUUUUUUUUUUAAUGUCUCUCAAUCAAAUCUGAUGCAAGUCUGAAUAUGCAGAAUGAAGAUUAUUAGUGAGUAAUGAUGUAAAUUUCACAUAAAGCAUCAUCAUAAGGACUUCAGAAUACAAGUAUAGCAUUUAAAAAUGUGUGCCAUAUUAUGGAAUUUUUUUCUCUGUUUGGAUUUUUGCAGACUUAUAAAAUGAACAACCACAUAUGAAUCUGGAACAACAGCUUCCUCGAUGUAUUUCUGUGUGAACGGUCUCUUUAACAGUGAUUGGUGUUUGUCUGCGCACUGAAUCUGAGACAGAAAGCCAGACUUAUACACAGACUCAGAAGCAGAGAUCACAGGACAAGCGCUUGUGCUCCGUGAUGCAAGACAUUGCAAUAGAUAGAAAACAACAGCACAAACAACCAUGAGAUACAUAUUUAACAGCGCUUUAGAACUGAGACGAAUACUAGAUACAGGUCAAUCCAGCACAACUGCCUCUGCUUUUGUACGUUAAACAACAACACAUUAUAACACAUUAAUAUAUUUUAGGUU
Molecule: long non-coding RNA, 4211 nt
Organism: Cyprinus carpio carpio
Lineage: Eukaryota; Metazoa; Chordata; Actinopteri; Cypriniformes; Cyprinidae
Source: Ensembl